AGUUUGAUCAUGGCUCAGAUUGAACGCUGGCGGCAGGCCUAACACAUGCAAGUCGAGCGGUAGAGAGAAGCUUGCUUCUCUUGAGAGCGGCGGACGGGUGAGUAAUGCCUAGGAAUCUGCCUGGUAGUGGGGGAUAACGUCCGGAAACGGACGCUAAUACCGCAUACGUCCUACGGGAGAAAGCAGGGGACCUUCGGGCCUUGCGCUAUCAGAUGAGCCUAGGUCGGAUUAGCUAGUUGGUGGAGUAAUGGCUCACCAAGGCGACGAUCCGUAACUGGUCUGAGAGGAUGAUCAGUCACACUGGAACUGAGACACGGUCCAGACUCCUACGGGAGGCAGCAGUGGGGAAUAUUGGACAAUGGGCGAAAGCCUGAUCCAGCCAUGCCGCGUGUGUGAAGAAGGUCUUCGGAUUGUAAAGCACUUUAAGUUGGGAGGAAGGGCAGUAAAUUAAUACUUUGCUGUUUUGACGUUACCGACAGAAUAAGCACCGGCUAACUCUGUGCCAGCAGCCGCGGUAAUACAGAGGGUGCAAGCGUUAAUCGGAAUUACUGGGCGUAAAGCGCGCGUAGGUGGUUCGUUAAGUUGGAUGUGAAAUCCCCGGGCUCAACCUGGGAACUGCAUUCAAAACUGACGAGCUAGAGUAUGGUAGAGGGUGGUGGAAUUUCCUGUGUAGCGGUGAAAUGCGUAGAUAUAGGAAGGAACACCAGUGGCGAAGGCGACCACCUGGACUGAUACUGACACUGAGGUGCGAAAGCGUGGGGAGCAAACAGGAUUAGAUACCCUGGUAGUCCACGCCGUAAACGAUGUCAACUAGCCGUUGGGAGCCUUGAGCUCUUAGUGGCGCAGCUAACGCAUUAAGUUGACCGCCUGGGGAGUACGGCCGCAAGGUUAAAACUCAAAUGAAUUGACGGGGGCCCGCA
RNAcentral lists this ribosomal RNA (920 nucleotides) under uncultured Gammaproteobacteria bacterium. RNAcentral's name for it is "bacterial SSU rRNA". It matches the Rfam family "Bacterial small subunit ribosomal RNA", at positions 10 to 925 of the family's 1533-position model. The record is from RNAcentral. Lineage: Bacteria; Pseudomonadati; Pseudomonadota; Gammaproteobacteria.